This 71-nucleotide transfer RNA is filed under the name Marmota monax (woodchuck). RNAcentral's name for it is "tRNA.Ala". The stretch from base 6 to 66 matches the Rfam family "tRNA", at positions 6 to 65 of the family's 71-position model. Rfam says of the family: Transfer RNA (tRNA) molecules are approximately 80 nucleotides in length. The record is from RNAcentral. Lineage: Eukaryota; Metazoa; Chordata; Mammalia; Rodentia; Sciuridae.
GGGGCUGUAGCUCAGUGGCAGAGCACUUGUCUAGCACACAUGAGGCCCUGGGUUCCAUCCUCAGCACUACA